Pelobates cultripes (western spadefoot toad) is the source of this 291-nucleotide non-coding RNA. Lineage: Eukaryota; Metazoa; Chordata; Amphibia; Anura; Pelobatidae. The record is from the annotation of a GenBank genome assembly.
GUCAUAGAAGCUAAAGACAGGAGGCUUAUGCUGCAUAGAUAGUAUUAUUUAUGCUAAACAGUCAGGAUCGAUUGUCCACCGAGUUACCGCUCCGUACCAUUACACUGCUUGUAAGUGAUAGUCCCCUCACCCCUGCACUUCUCUAUGCAAAAUGUAUACUGUAUGUCUGGCUGACCGUGUAGCUGACCAAGAGAGAGCAGGGGGAGGACAUUCCUUAGCUGGAGUGAUGAAUGCUUGCUUGUGUAGAUAUGUGUCGGCAGAGACAGGUGGGGUGUCGCUGUUGAUUUUAUG